GAUGAACGCUAGCUACAGGCUUAACACAUGCAAGUCGAGGGGAAACGACAUCGAAAGCUUGCUUUUGAUGGGCGUCGACCGGCGCACGGGUGAGUAACGCGUAUCCAACCUGCCCAUCACUUGGGAAUAACCUUGCGAAAGUAAGACUAAUACCCAAUGACAUCCCACGAAGACAUCUGAAUGGGAUUAAAGAUUUAUCGGUGAUGGAUGGGGAUGCGUCUGAUUAGCUUGUUGGCGGGGUAACGGCCCACCAAGGCAACGAUCAGUAGGGGUUCUGAGAGGAAGGUCCCCCACAUUGGAACUGAGACACGGUCCAAACUCCUACGGGAGGCAGCAGAGAGGAAUAUUGGUCAAUGGGCGAGAGCCUGAACCAGCCAAGUAGCGUGCAGGAUGACGGCCCUAUGGGUUGUAAACUGCUUUUAUAAGGGAAUAAAGUGGGUCUCGUGAGACUUUUUGCAUGUACCUUAUGAAUAAGGACCGGCUAAUUCCGUG
Molecule: ribosomal RNA, 492 nt
Filed under: uncultured bacterium
Lineage: Bacteria
Description: partial 16S ribosomal RNA
Rfam family: Bacterial small subunit ribosomal RNA
Source: RNAcentral